GAUGAACGCUGGCGGCGUGCCUAAUACAUGCAAGUCGAGCGAACGGACGAGAAGCUUGCUUCUCUGAUGUUAGCGGCGGACGGGUGAGUAACACGUGGAUAACCUACCUAUAAGACUGGGAUAACUUCGGGAAACCGGAGCUAAUACCGGAUAAUAUUUUGAACCGCAUGGUUCAAAAGUGAAAGACGGUCUUGCUGUCACUUAUAGAUGGAUCCGCGCUGCAUUAGCUAGUUGGUAAGGUAACGGCUUACCAAGGCAACGAUGCAUAGCCGACCUGAGAGGGUGAUCGGCCACACUGGAACUGAGACACGGUCCAGGCUCCUACGGGAGGCAGCAGUAGGGAAUCUUCCGCAAUGGGCGAAAGCCUGACGGAGCAACGCCGCGUGAGUGAUGAAGGUCUUCGGAUCGUAAAACUCUGUUAUUAGGGAAGAACAUAUGUGUAAGUAACUGUGCACAUCUUGACGGUACCUAAUCAGAAAGCCACGGCUAACUAUGUG
This 497-nucleotide ribosomal RNA is filed under the name uncultured bacterium. RNAcentral describes it as "partial 16S ribosomal RNA". It matches the Rfam family "Bacterial small subunit ribosomal RNA", at positions 28 to 507 of the family's 1533-position model. The record is from RNAcentral.